Molecule: ribosomal RNA, 388 nt
Filed under: Syndiniales sp.
Lineage: Eukaryota; Dinophyceae; Syndiniales
Description: partial small subunit ribosomal RNA
Rfam family: Eukaryotic small subunit ribosomal RNA
Source: RNAcentral
AUUCCAGCUCCAAUAGCGUAUAUUAAAGUUGUUGCGGUAAAAAAGCUCGUAGUUGGAUUUCUGUUGAGGGCGACCGGUCCAUACAACGUAUGCGUAUCUGGCUCGGCCUCGGCAUCCUCUCGAUAGACGUUUCUGCGCUUGAUUGCGUGGAGCGGAUCUCGGGACUUUUACUUCGAGGAAAUUAGAGUGUUCACGGCAGGCUAUCGCCAGAAUACAUUAGCAUGGAAUAAUACUAUAGGAUCUUGAUUCUAUUUUGUUGGUUUCUAGAAUUGAGAUAAUGAUUAAUAGGGACAAUUGGGGGCAUUCGUAUCAACACGUCAGAGGUGGAAUUCUUGGAUUGUGUUGCGACGAACUACUGCGAAAGCAUUUGCCAAGGAUGUUUUCAUUA